UGUCAUGUCCACAAGGCCCAGAGCAGAGAGCAGCCGCCACGCCACAGGAGCUAGGGGAAGCAGAGACGCCCCAGCCAUUCCCCACCUGCCUCUGGGGCAAGAAGAACCCAGAUGUGGAUGGCGACGAUGGAGCAUCUCAGACCAGUUUUUGUCCUCUUGGUGGUUGGGGUCUUCAUGGAAAGCCAACAGGGCCAGGGAUUCCCCCUCGGCAAGAGAGACCUCUUCCCCGUCACAGAGGCCGUGCUGGACUUGGCCCCCAGGGCCUUCGGACCA
Pelodiscus sinensis (Chinese soft-shelled turtle) is the source of this 273-nucleotide non-coding RNA. The record is from RefSeq and is a predicted model, not a curated record. Lineage: Eukaryota; Metazoa; Chordata; Testudines; Trionychidae.